RNAcentral lists this ribosomal RNA (253 nucleotides) under uncultured bacterium. RNAcentral describes it as "partial 16S ribosomal RNA". It matches the Rfam family "Bacterial small subunit ribosomal RNA", at positions 524 to 776 of the family's 1533-position model. The record is from RNAcentral.
UACGUAGGGUGCAAGCGUUGUCCGGAAUUAUUGGGCGUAAAGAGCUCGUAGGCGGUCUGUUGCGUCGGCUGUGAAAACCCGGGGCUCAACCCCGGGCCUGCAGCCGAGACGGGCAGACUAGAGUUCGGCAGGGGAGACUGGAAUUCCUGGUGUAGCGGUGAAAUGCGCAGAUAUCAGGAGGAACACCGGUGGCGAAGGCGGGUCUCUGGGCCGAUACUGACGCUGAGGAGCGAAAGCGUGGGGAGCGAACAGG